GGACAAUUAGCUCAGUUGGUUAGAGCGUCACAUUGACAUUGUGAAGGCCACUGGUUCGAGUCCAGUAUUGUCCA
Molecule: transfer RNA, 74 nt
Filed under: Patescibacteria group bacterium
Lineage: Bacteria
Description: tRNA-Val
Rfam family: tRNA
About the family: Transfer RNA (tRNA) molecules are approximately 80 nucleotides in length. Their secondary structure includes four short double-helical elements and three loops (D, anti-codon, and T loops).
Source: RNAcentral